Molecule: ribosomal RNA, 513 nt
Filed under: uncultured bacterium
Lineage: Bacteria
Description: bacterial SSU rRNA
Rfam family: Bacterial small subunit ribosomal RNA
Source: RNAcentral
AGUUGAUCCUGGCUUAGGAUGAACGCUAGCGGCAGGCUUAACACAUGCAAGUCGAGGGGCAUCGGGAGUAGCAAUACUUGCCGGCGACCGGCGCAAGGGUGCGUAACGCGUGAGCAACAUGCCCGUAUCAGGGGGAUAAUCCAUGGAAACGUGGUCUAAUACCCCAUAGUAAUUAUGUAAGGCAUCUUAUAUAAUUUAAAGCUUUGGUGGAUACGGAUUGGCUCGCGUGACAUUAGCUGGAUGGUAAGGUAACGGCUUACCAUGGCUACGAUGUCUAGGGGUUCUGAGAGGAAGGUCCCCCACACUGGAACUGAGACACGGUCCAGACUCCUACGGGAGGCAGCAGUGAGGAAUAUUGGACAAUGGAUGGAAAUCUGAUCCAGCCAUGCCGCGUGCCAGGAAGACGGCCCUAUGGGUUGUAAACUGCUUUUGUAUGGGAGCAAUAAGGGCUACGUGUAGUCCGAUGAGAGUACCAUACGAAUAAGCACCGGCUAACUCCGUGCCAGCCGCCGC